RNAcentral lists this small RNA (560 nucleotides) under Pan troglodytes (chimpanzee). Its description in RNAcentral is "processed transcript". Lineage: Eukaryota; Metazoa; Chordata; Mammalia; Primates; Hominidae. The record is from RNAcentral.
GUCCUCAUUUGUAAAUGGGGAAAAAAUCUGUGGGCUGAGGCUGUCUUUUGGAAAACACUUUCCUGGGUCGUGAGUCCUUGAUUUCAUAGGUUGCUUAUAUUACUACAAAGGAACCUUAAACCAACUGUGUCCUUCCUUUUCCUUAUUGCAGUUGGAGGACAACAGCACACCUGAACCAAAGGAAAAUGGGGAGGAAGGCUGUCAUCAAAAUGGUCUUUCCCUCCCUGUAGUGGAAGAAGGGGAGGUUCUCUCACACUCUCUAGAAGCAGAGCACAGGUUAUUGAAAGCUAUGGGUUGGCAGGAAUAUCCUGAAAACGAUGAGAAUUGCCUUCCCCUCACAGAGGAUGAGCUCAAAGAGUUCCACAUGAAGACAGAGCAGCUGAGAAGAAAUGGCUUUGGAAAGAAUGGCUUCUUGCAGAGCCGCAGUUCCAGCCUGUUCUCCCCUUGGAGAAGCACUUGCAAAGCAGAGUUUGAGGACUCAGACACCGAAACCAGUAGCAGUGAAACAUCAGAUGACGAUGCCUGGAAGUAGGCAUAUAAAUGCUCACAGUUAAAUCUGA